RNAcentral lists this ribosomal RNA (491 nucleotides) under uncultured archaeon. Its description in RNAcentral is "partial 16S ribosomal RNA". It matches the Rfam family "Archaeal small subunit ribosomal RNA", at positions 1 to 479 of the family's 1478-position model. The record is from RNAcentral.
UGCUGGAAUUCGCCCUUCGGUUGAUCCUGCCGGAGGUUACUGCUAUCGGAGUACGUACUAAGCCAUGCAAGUCAAAUGUUCUUCGUGAACAUGGCGGACUGCUCAGUAACACGUGGAUAACCUGCCCUUAGGUUCGGCAUAACUCCGGGAAACUGGAGAUAAUUCCGAAUAGGUCAAAUAUGCUGGAAUGCUUUUUGGCCAAAAGACUUCGGUUGCCUAAGGAUGGAUCUGCGGUCUAUCAGGUUGUAGUGGGUGUAACGUACCUACUAGCCUACGACGGAUAUGGGUUGUGAGAGCAAGAGCCCAGAGAUGGAUUCUGAGACAUGAAUCCAGGCCCUACGGGGCGCAGCAGGCGCGAAAACUUUACAAUGCGGGAAACCGCGAUAAGGGGACACCGAGUGCCAGCUUUUAUGUUGGCUGUCCACAUGUGUAAACGGCAUGUGUUAGCAAGGGCCGGGCAAGACCGGUGCCAGCCGCCGCGUUAACACCGG